This 1065-nucleotide long non-coding RNA is filed under the name Zostera marina. RNAcentral describes it as "long non-coding RNA (ZMAR_LNC004752)". Lineage: Eukaryota; Viridiplantae; Streptophyta; Magnoliopsida; Alismatales; Zosteraceae. The record is from RNAcentral.
CAAUUCAGAGAAAUUGUCAAAUAUACCCCACCUAAGAUUGGUAUGGAGUUAAAAAUAACCACCUAUAAUUUUUUUUGACCAUUUUACCCUUAUAAUUAAUUCAAAUUUUCGAAAAUGUCAUUGUCAUUAAAAAAACGCGCAGAUUUUUUGGGCAGAAAAACAACCCAUCGUCCUCCCCCUCCCUCAGUGCUACCAUCCGACGGGCAAGGAGAGAGUCCAACACCUUCAUGGCCGGCCGGGUCCUCCUCCUUCAUCGCCGAUUUGCAACGUCGAUAAUAGAUUUGAUCUUAUUGAACUCCCGACCUUCUGGGAGGACAUGGAAGAAGUUCGUGGAGUGUCCGACGAUGGAGUUCGUCCUGAAGAAGGUAGUUCAUCCUAAAUUUGUGUUAUGUUUCACUGAGUAAUGUCUUUCCAGAUUUUUUUUGAAUAUAUGUGAAAUAAUAAAUCGGAAGUCUCAUUUUCUUCCUAUUGGCACUGGUGAAAUCAUCCAUACUUAUUUUAGCUUACCAUUACAUAUAAAUUUAUAAAUUCUGGUAAGAUGGUUACCUGAGGAGAGCUGAUGGAAAAAAAAAUCAAUAAAAUCAGAACAGACCAUAAGCAAGAAUAGGUUCUGAAAUCAGUCUGAAAUCAAUCGCGGAGUCACAUUCUUGAAAGAAUCGCGUCUGGAAAUCUGAGUCGCGUUCUAGAAUUAAUCUCGUUCUUCAAAAUCGCAGAGACAGGAGACAGAAUCAAUCUGAAAUGUUUGCGCCGAGAAAAAAAUCGCAAAGCAAACUGGUCUCGCAAAAUCGUGCAGGACAGAAUCGCGCAGGAGAGAAAUAAAUCGCGAACAGAGUGUGGAUGAAUCACAGAAUCUCCAAGAAGUCGCAUAAUCGCGUGCUGCAAAAAUCGCUUUCUUGGGGAAGAAAUCACCAAGAAAUCGCAGAUGCAGAAUUUCAUACAAUCUGAAAUAUGGAAGAAAUCACCUAGAUCUGGAAGAAGACCGUGGAUAUAGAAAUCGCGAUGGAUCUGAAAGAAAUCCACGAAGUGUGUACAGGAAUCGCAUGCGUGUUGUAGACUUGCCGAAGA